AGUGAACGCUGGCGGUAGGCCUAACACAUGCAAGUCGAACGGCAGCACAGUAAGAGCUUGCUCUUACGGGUGGCGAGUGGCGGACGGGUGAGGAAUACAUCGGAAUCUACUUUUUCGUGGGGGAUAACGUAGGGAAACUUACGCUAAUACCGAAUACGACCAACGGGGGAAAGCAGGGGAUCUUCGGACUUUUGGCGUUUGAAUGAGCCGAUGUCGGAUUAGCUAGUUGGCGGGGUAAAGGCCCACCAAGGCGACGAUCCGUAGCUGGUCUGAGAGGAUGAUCAGCCACACUGGAACUGAGACACGGUCCAGACUCCUACGGGAGGCAGCAGUGGGGAAUAUUGGACAAUGGGCGCAAGCCUGAUCCAGCCAUACCGCGUGGGUGAAGAAGGCCUUCGGGUUGUAAAGCCCUUUUGUUGGGAAAGAAAAGCAGCAGGUUAAUACCCCGCUGUUCUGACGGUACCCAAAGAAUAAGCACCGGCUAACUUCGUG
RNAcentral lists this ribosomal RNA (492 nucleotides) under uncultured bacterium. Its description in RNAcentral is "partial 16S ribosomal RNA". It matches the Rfam family "Bacterial small subunit ribosomal RNA", at positions 29 to 507 of the family's 1533-position model. The record is from RNAcentral.